AUGAGACCCAACCUUGACCCUUUGGAAAGCUCUCAAAACUCGCGCAGUAUUGCGUGCCACUAAAUUGUCAACUUCUCUGAACUCUUUUGACAAAGAAUCAACAGCCUUAUUAACCUCGGGAACAAACGGGGAAUCGGAAUGAUGCAGCUGAGGAACUGAAACUCGAGAGCUCGAACGCACUGCAGCUUUAGCAGAAGUUACUCUCAGAGUAUGCGUAGGAUAAG
RNAcentral lists this unclassified non-coding RNA (224 nucleotides) under Hevea brasiliensis (rubber tree). The record is from RNAcentral. Lineage: Eukaryota; Viridiplantae; Streptophyta; Magnoliopsida; Malpighiales; Euphorbiaceae.